Molecule: long non-coding RNA, 278 nt
Organism: Ananas comosus (pineapple)
Lineage: Eukaryota; Viridiplantae; Streptophyta; Magnoliopsida; Poales; Bromeliaceae
Exons: 2
Source: RefSeq, a predicted model, not a curated record
UGAUGUUGAUGGUUGGAUAUUAAAAUCAGUGAGCAAAAAAUAGAAGGAUUAUAAAUAUGAUCUUAAAGCAAAGAGUAAAAUUAAUGAACACACACAACAAGAAGUAUCUAAAAGUGUGCCUCCAGAAGUUGUACCGCAACAAUGGAUCGAUCUUGUUCGCUAUUGGUAUUCGGAGAAAAGCGAGAAAUAUUCAAAGAUCGGCACGGCAUCGCGUAAAAAUCAUACAACUCCUCACACGACUGGUUCUAAGAGUUUUGCAAGGAAGCGAGAUGAAUUUG